UAACAAGCUAGAUGAUGGUGUUACCUAUAAAAUAAUCCUCUACUACUGAAGUUAAUUUAGGGUUUUUCAAGGAAAAUAUAGUGUAAGAAAAGUAGAUUAAGAGAUACCUAACACAGUGGUAACUAGAGUAGUCUAAGCUGCUGCUGAGCCAAAAUGGAUUGAAUACGAAUUGAAUGCUUCUCUUAUGUCAGAAAAGCAUAUGCUGCUUAUCAUCUCUCUCGUUCUCUCUGGGCUACUAAUUGUUUCCCUUUUCUGUGACAUACCAAUACAUUUAGCCAGUAUGUCUUUUAUUUUAUUUUAAACUCAGUGUGGUGCAGAGUGCCAAGUCUCUUUGUUUUUGUAUUUCAUCGGAAUUUCACCGGAAUUUGAAUGAUCCAAUUUCACCGGAAUUUGAAUGAAACGAAGGCUGCUCACUUACCUCGACAGGUGAGGUACGCUUGAUUCUGUGUCAUGUUAUUAAUGCAAUAUAAUGAUGUGUUCAUUACAUUGAGAGGUUCAAAUGUUACAGCAUGAAAGAAUAAAAGAAUAAGUGUAAGCUAAACUUCUAUCGUCAUCUGAUUUA
Molecule: long non-coding RNA, 562 nt
Organism: Populus trichocarpa (black cottonwood)
Lineage: Eukaryota; Viridiplantae; Streptophyta; Magnoliopsida; Malpighiales; Salicaceae
Exons: 2
Source: RefSeq, a predicted model, not a curated record